Molecule: unclassified non-coding RNA, 320 nt
Filed under: uncultured fungus
Lineage: Eukaryota; Fungi
Description: sequence contains ITS1
Source: RNAcentral
AAAGUGCGAUAUUUAGUGCCUUGUGCACGGAUCGGGCGCUAAGUCUUCGAAUGCAAAUCGUUCUGUCCAGGCCAUGCUGGCAGAGCGCCUGCUUCAGGGUUGUUAAUUUUUUGCUGGCUCCCAUGCGGAUGUCCGGCUCUCUUAGAUGGAUCACUGAGACAUUGGUGUUCCAACUUAGUGCCCUAGCACGUUGCUACCGCUUUCCAUACCCAUUCACUCCGUUGUGUUGGCCCGUCCUUCCUUCGUCGUGGUGUGGAGGCGGUGCGAUUGCUAUACUAGGAGGCAACCUGAAGUCAGGUGUGGCUACCCGCUGAACUUAA